This 588-nucleotide long non-coding RNA is filed under the name Sus scrofa (pig). RNAcentral describes it as "lncRNA (ENSSSCG00040000912.1)". The record is from RNAcentral. Lineage: Eukaryota; Metazoa; Chordata; Mammalia; Artiodactyla; Suidae.
AUGAAAGGAUUCCAGGAUCAAAAGGGACACACCAUGUUUAUAAGCCUCAGGCCCUGUAAAACCUGGAUUUGCUCUGCUCCAUACCUUCACUCUCAGGUGGGUGUAUUCAGUAGCUGCUGGGGGUUCAUGUGUAGAGGGAAGCAGCAUGCUGUAGUGAAAGGAGAAAACCUGAUCCUGCCAUCUACAUGCUGUGUGGUUUCAGCAAGUUUCUUAGCCUCUCUGAACUUUAGUUUCCUCAGCCCUAAAAUUUGGAUGAUCCUACUUCACAGAAUUAUUGUAAGACCUAAAGGAACACUUAGCAUAGUGCCGGGCAUAUGAUCAGCACUCAAUAUUACUUCCCUUUUCCCCUCCCUCUCUCUUGAAUGGUUCACAGGUUUACCUUAGGUCAGGGACCCAGGGGAGGAAAUAUUUUAUCUUUUGAAAAUGAAUUUUGAUAAAAGGGUAUUAAAAAGAGAGCUGGGGUUUCCCCUGUGACGUUUGUCUUUAACAAGCCCUAAACAAGAUGAAUCAUGAUGGGAUUUUCUAUAAAGCAAAGAAUCAAGUGCUUUCAUCAAUUGUGUAGAGCAUUGCACCAAAAGUUCCAAUUCU